AAUGAAUAAAUUUUUUCUGUUAUUUUUACUUAUCCGUAUAUAAUUAAAUGUUAUAUUUGCAAAAUCAUUACGCACUACAAAGGAGCGGAUAAAAUGCUCACUAGCAUUCCUAGAGAUCCAUCCCGAGACCCAAAAUUAAGAGGUGUGGAUAGAGCUUUCUUAACCUGCCAAAUGGAAGGAACGUUUAAACCAUUGGAAAAACCAAAUACGGUCGAGAGUAAGAAAAGUUAAAGUGGACAGAAUCCUGAUAGGUGGAGGUGCCCUGCAGCAAACGGAAACGUUGAAUUUGGAAGAGCGAGCAAUGGAAACGUUUGGAAGGACCGUGGUAGAUGGAGUGUCUGAUGUAAAUAAGAUGUUUGCGCAUAGUAUGUUUAUACUUAUACCUAUUUAUUAGAAUGAAUCUUAUAUCUGUCCGGAUAGGCCAGCAGUUGUUGUUAAUGAGAUGCCAUCAACCUCUCGUGGCCGAAAGCCGAAAUAUGAAGGAAUGUUUACAGAGAUGAUGGCUGCGAUGAAGAAGAUGAGCAACGGGGAAAAAUUUAUAGAAAUCCCUUAAUGUUUCCAGAAUGUUGCUGAUUCUAUAAAUAACAAUUUUAAAAUUAUCAGAGGCAGUUUAAAAAAAAAAAAUUAAGUAUUACAAUAAAUUAAUUAAUUUUUAUUUAUUGUGGUGUAUUAUUGG
Long non-coding RNA from Bactrocera oleae (olive fruit fly), 676 nucleotides. RefSeq lists it as uncharacterized. Lineage: Eukaryota; Metazoa; Arthropoda; Insecta; Diptera; Tephritidae. The record is from RefSeq and is a predicted model, not a curated record.